GCCUCUGCGGGCUGGGCGGGCGGCCGGGAGGGGGGCUGCUCGGCCUGCGGCCCGCCGGAUGGCUGUAGGGCUCGGGCGGUAGCGGGGGAGGGAGGUGUGAGGAGCCCUGGGUGAAGCGCUGGCACGACGGCUUCUGCUAACAGCACUGUGGGUACACCGUGUUACUCUUGUGUGACCUUCCCAAGCCCCUCCAUGUCUUCUACCUACCUCUUUGGCCGUUGGAUUUAAUGUAAAUGGGAAAUGGGCGAGUUUUUUUUUUGCGGAAGAGCAAAGGCAGCAGGCCUCCUGCUUGUGUGCAGAGAGCAAAGCGUGCUGCUAGCCUCCAUGGGGGCUUGGAGGGGCUCCGAUCUAGGCAGAAGGUUGUUUGUUUUUAACACUCUUUAAGUAAAAUGAGAUUAUUUGGGGGUGCCCUUGCUGGUAUUUCCAAGGGCCUUAGUCUGAUUAUAGAGAGAAAAAGGCUGCAAAAUGCACAAAAUCAGCAAUGGAAAUGGGGUCGGUUUGUUUGGCUAAAUGGAUCCAGUUCUAGUAAUCUGAAGUGUUUAGUUGUUGCAGAAGGCAGUUUCUGAAGCUGUGGCUUGCAAGUUGAUCUUAUCCUUUAAAUACCUCUCAAACAGUUGUCCAAGGAUUAUUUUUAUCUAUGAAUUUCUUUACUGCAGUGUUUGCUUUUGUUUCUUUUUAAAUAGUAUUUUAAAACUAGAGAUAGAAGGCAAAUAUGUUUUGUUUUGAAGGUUAGAUAUUAUUAAAACUGUCCUGAAAGUGUAAAAUAGUAUUUAUUACAUAGGAAUCAGAACUGGAGCUGGUGAUAACCUCUCUUUUAGCUUGCCUCACAUGCCUUUUAGAACUAAGGUAAUGCUUGAAGCCCAUCACCUCUUUGAAAAUUAGGCUGAAUGUACAUCCAGAGGAGUUAAGAACUCUAUGGAAGUGUUAAAUUUAGUGCUUUGUGGAACCAGGAUGCUGUGGAACUUGUGCACCUCAUUCAAACUCCACUGAAUUCUGUUGAAAUCUAAUGCAUGCUGAUGAGACCCUAAAAUGGAAACUCAGACCCACAUCAUCAGUUGCCCAGAUCCUAUUCCUGCCUCAGACUUAAUCUUUGGAUACGAUGGGACUCCAAUGCCUGUACUGGGCUCUGCUUCUCUGUAAGAUCAGUAACUAGCCUUCAUCACCAGGAGAUGCAGUUUCCUUGCUGUCGUUAAUGUCAAAGGGCACGCUCAACGGAGACGUGCUGUGCUUUGGUGGCUCUUUGUUCUGAAUGGCCUGUGACCACAGAGACAGACCUGGAGCAGCUGUGGGGCUGCCUGAAUUUGCAGAAGGGAUCAGGGAGAUGGUGGUCAGAACAAUAACUAAUGGAUUUUUGAACAAAAGACUGCAUUAAUGAAAGCCCAUGAAAAGGUUGUAUAUAUUUUGUAGGAUUAGAUUUUGCCCUAUACCAGGAACAAAACUGUUAUAAAUUUAAAGUGCAUAUAUAUGUAUAUACACUCUUUAUAUACACAAAUUUAUAAUAGAAAUAUAAAAUGGAAAAUUUGAACAUUUUAGCACUGUAUUUGUAAGGUAGUUAUUAAGGCAAAUCAGCCUGCAUUUUCCUCCUCAUUUCUUCUAUCCAUCUUUUAAAUGUAUCUUCAUUGCCUUCAGUGGAAAGUUUCCAGUUUUCACCAGUGUAAGUGAAAGGAGAGCAAGACACAAUAUCCUUUGAAAAUACCCUUCAGCACUGUACGAAAAGCCUUGAAUUAACUUUUGAGGAAAACAGCAUAGAGUCACUAAAUAGUGAUUUUUUUACACAGCUUUGUGGUUAAAUCUUGUUUUAUAUUUACAUGCACUGUGGAAUAACUAAUACGGAUGUCUUCCUGACACUGAAUCUUGCAUUUGUAGGGAAAGACAAACAUGUGGUUGAAAACUGAGCUAGGCUGUAGCCUUUCAAAAUAAAGAAGUUUAAAAGAUAGUUGCAAAAUAAACUGCCGUAGUUUACAAAAUAGACAACCAAGCAGGUCCUAGGAACAGACGGGAUGUUGAUCUCUUAGUUAAUAGGGAAGAGCUGGUAUGGAAAUAAGUGCAUAUUUUAGGGCUGAUUUUGCUUUACAUGAAAUGGUAGUAAAGCUUCAGUGAAUUAAAGGAGGUUUUUUCUCUUUGUAUUUUUAGUUUAUCCAUAUUUCAUAUUAACAAUAGAAAUAUAUUAUAACUUCAUUUAAUGUGCUUAUGCCUGACAAUGAGAAAAAUAAGAAGAAAAAAUACCAAUAAAGCCUAUAAAUACAAAUUUAAUUGUAUAAAUUACUUAAUGUGUCAUCUCUCCCUUUUGCAAUAUUAAACAAGCGUAAAAUAUUCUGUACUGGUACAAAAUACUUUUUUACCCCAUAUACAGUGCAAUGUAGAGUAAUUUGCUAGGAAUUUCUUGAAAUUAUUCAGGAGUUUGUUACAGUAAUUACUGUUUCUGAGCCUUUAAAAUCGACACAGUAAAAUGCUGACAAAAUUACAGUUUUCAGAAGUAAAGGCUCUAAAGCACAGGCUAUGGGUUUUUCUUGGUUAGUGUAGCACAUACAAUGUCUACAUAGCUCUAGGAACUGCCCUUACUAUUUACUGUCUUCUAAUUUAGCAGUUCAUGGUUUUAAUGGCUGUUUAGGGGGUUCGUUUCUGCAUUACAAAUGUUAUGCAUGAAAGAGCAGUUUUUUACAGGCAUUGUUUAAUUUGGUGGCAGCCUCAGAUUUAUUUUUUUGUUAUAUUCUUUUUUUGUUUUUAUUUUAAGUUUCCUACUUAAUCCAAGUAAACAAUGUGAUUAUUUAGAGGUUUACUUUAUACUGUGUCUAGUAAUGCUUUAUUUUACUAGUCUUUUAUUCUAACGUACAGUAAGAUAUCCUUAUGGCAAGCAAAGUGUGAUAAUUUUCAUACAGCACAUUCUGCUGUUCUUUUUCUGUCUCCCAAAAUGAAGAAAAUGGCCAUAGGUUAAGGCUUGAAGUAUCUCUACUGAGAUUGGAGUUCGCUGUCAACUUUGCUGGUCCAACACCAAGCAUCCUAGCUGAAAAAAACCCACAAAUCAGGAAUGUUUAAAAGGGCCUCGGAUAUUAUUAUCCAAUCUAAUCUUAGUCUGUCCUUUGCUGAUAAAUCAUUAUUUUGACAUAUGAGGGAAUAUCCACUACAGAAAUAGUAUAACUGUAUGUUGACGUACGAUUCCUUUCUUUCCCCCUUAGUGUCUUCUAUGAUAUUCGUGUGAAUUGUGAAUGUGGAAUCGGUUUAUUCAAAAAGAUUCAUAUGGUCAAGUUUUAUGUCUGUUUACUUGCUUAUAUAAACGUUUCCAAUUUAACACAACAAUUUGUAAUGAAUACUGUGAAACAAAUUUAAAAGAAUGAGUUCUUGAAAUAGAAAUAAUAAUAAAAAUGCUUUUCUCCCCUUGAAAAUAUUUAUUUUAACAUGUGGUCACAUUUUCCUACAUUUUCACAUUAAUUGAAAUCUUUUUGUUCUAGGAGAAUAAAUCUUCCCUUCAUAUAGUUUCCCAGUUCUUACGCAAAUUAAAGCACAUGCAGGCAUAAUUUGUGGUUUUAAAGCAAGUAAAAUUUUGUAAAUUCAUGAUAUCAUUAAAAAGCAUUUUGUCAAACAGUACUAUUACACAGACCAUUUUGUAAUUUACCUUUUCACUUUAGUGAAGGAUGACUUUUUGUGAUAAUCUUUUGAUUUCUUAGUUUUAUAGAAGGUUCUAAGUAUUCCUAAAUUUAGUGCUGCUCAGUUACAAAGUAAUCUUAUGUUGAUGUUCAGAAGUAGUUUAUAAGACACUGGAAUGUCAGCUCCAGAUACUGGGAACAGUCUGCAAACAACAAUACUUUCUUAUUUAUUUGGGAAGGAUAGCUCCUUUAUUUUAAAGGAGGCAGAUUGGGGAGAAAGGGCAGAGCACCAGUACUGUAGCUCCUGGGUUCCUGUAUGGAGCGUUAUGUUUUUUCCAUUUAGAAACAGUUUGAAACAAAUAGAUUAUAAAUAUCCAGCUACUUUCAAUAAACUUUUCUUGGCAACAGAAUCUAAAAUCAAGCACCAUAUCAAACAAAAUGUGAAGCAUGCUGCAGAGCUUAUCUGCUUUCUCCUGAAGAGAGCCACAAGCCUAGAGCUAGCUGAAUCACCCUCUGCUGCAGCAAGCAGAAUGACUCUAAAGAUUUUUAAAUCAUUUUUAAUCGUUUUCUCUAUUAAAACUCACCAGUGCCGCCCUUCUGCUUCUCCAGGAAGUUGUACCCGUCAGCACCUGCUGAGGGCUUUGCUGAUCAAACCCGGCAGGUAAAAAAAUUCCUGUAGAAUAAAGCCAGACCAGCUGGCUUUGAAGAGAAACCCCCCAGUUUGGGUUGUGUUUGCCUCACUCACCCUCUCCUCAGCAGCCCUGGGCUUUUUCUCCUUUGGUUGUUGACCUGUAGGGUGGGUGAUGCGGGCGCACAAGUGUCUGGCAGGCCAAGGUGCACCUGCUUCUGUCACUCGCAAGUAAAUUUAGCUGUAAAAGGUAUCACUGACAAGCAGACCUUUGUCAGCGCUGGCAAAUGAACACAGCAUUGCUGUCCCCCUUCAAAGUACGCUACAAGUUCAAAUGGAAAAUAUCAAAUCAGUCAUCUUAUCCAGGAAUUGCUUCUUUGAGAAGAAAAAAGGCUAAAUUGCUUUCACAUGGCACAAAACUUUCCUCCUUUACAUAGAUGUUAAAAUUACAUUCCAAGAAUAAUCUCUGAACAAGACGGGGUUUUGUUCUUUUAAUUGUGGCUGGAAGGAAACUUUUUUAAUGGAAAUACAGCAUACACAUAUUUCAAUUCAGGUUAUUAAACUGUGUUAAGUAUUAAAGUUGAUUGCCUUUCUUUUCACUAACUCAUUGUGCUUUUUUAUCCAAAGAAAUAUUAGAAGACUAAAACCUCUGAAAUAGGAGGUAUUAAUCUCAUUCCCAAAAUUAGAAAGCAUGCAGUGUUGAGAGACUGGAUGUCAAAAUUACACGUUCGUAGCACUUAUGCGAUGGGAAUCUAGGAACCAACCACUUUUAAAAAUGGGAACUAAAGUAGAUGGAGAGUCUUCUGAGAGUAAAGCCACCUAAACUUGGUCUUCUUGUCCUUAUUGGAUUAAGGGGCACCGUUUCAGAUAAAAACAUGGACCUGAUUGGCAUCAUCUCGUAUCCAUGGAAACGUUUUAAGUACCUCUCUCUCAAUAUGUACUUCUCUUAUUCAGGGUUUAAAAGCUGAAUACUGAAUAAUUGAGAAUUAGCAAAAGAAACCUGGAAACAUUAAUUCUUCCCUUUCACAAGAAUAUAGUUUCUUCCUUCAUACCAAACACUUGUUAAUAUAAAGAAUUGAUCUGAAGAGUUCAGCUGAGGCUUGCGAUGACUGAUUCCAAAAGAAGCUUUUCUCACGUGCUCAUGGAAAAGACUGUUAUUGUUUUUAUCUCAUUACAUCUCCAACUCUGAAUAGCUCUGCAAUUUCACAGGAGCAAUCUUAACAGUUAAUAACAUUAGCAGAGUUCUCUGGAAUACUCCUAUUUGCAUCUUGUGAGAAGAAAAAGAAGUGAGGAAGAAAUAAAGCAGAUGCUUCAGGAAUGUUUCAUUGAAUGUACGGAAAAGCAGCAAGUAAUGGCAACAUUUUCUACUGACAGAGACUUGGGGUGGUCAGUGAUGUACCUUACCGGAAUCUUCAGUAGCCUUCAUCAUGGUGUUACCUGUGAAUAUGGAUUCACUGCAUCUGAAUCCAGCAAAUUAUAAAUCUUAAGAAAAACACGAGAUUUUGUGACCUAGGGCAGCAGCACAGAGAGUUGAACUCAGGAGCUUUUGACAAGGACCCAGAGUCUGAGCAACAGUAGACAUCUAGAACAGAGGACACCUUGUAUUUGGCUCUCUGGGCUUUUUGCAGACGUGGGCACCACCAGUGCCAGCAGCAAAGGAUGGUGCCUCAUGCAGUUCACAAGAAGAAAGUGAGGUGUUGGUGCCAUGGAUCCACCCACUGAGAAGAGUCCCACCAGUGCAAGAGGACUGUAGUAUAGGCAGAAGUACCAGCUUGGCCACAGCUUCCACUGAAUGUUUUUUAUCCUCUGAGAGCUCUGUAAGAUUGGCAUUAUCCUGUAGCAGUGUCACAGCCUGCAGUCAUUUAAUGCCUCUUCUUGUGAGGCCGGGAUUCCACGCCCAAGUGCAUUUAGUAGAGCCACUGAGGCUGACACAUAGUUUCCAAGAACUUCUGCAUGUCUUGUGUCUCCUGAAUCCCAAAUAUUUCUCAAGUGCCUAGCAGAAGAAUAUCUGGAUAAUCUUAGGCUGGUAAUACAACCUCAGAGAAGAAAGUCAGACAGCUCUGAAAAUACAGUGUAAAUUAUUUCAUUUUGUGUUAACUUGGUGUCUUUCUUACGUGUAUACUGCCAUUGUUACACUUAGAGCAUUCUCUAGAUCUGAAGAUGCUAUGAAAUUUCAGUAAUUCUAGCACUAAUAACAGCUUUUGCUGGUCACACUGUAAAUGAUAUUGCAUGAUGAUUCAUUUGAAAAUGUAAUAAUGUAGCUUGAAAAAUAAAAGAUGAGCAAUAAACUGAAACAAAAGAGCUUGUUGCCUUUCCCCAAAUAACACUUCUUCAUUCCUGACCUAGGUUUACCUUCUUUCCCCUUCUUUAAGGAUCCUUUACAUUAUGUACUAAAAAUAAAAGUAUUCAAGGUUCAAACUUUAAGUCCCAAAUUACUGCCUUUCAGAUUCUUUAUUAUCCUUUCAAGCAUCUAAAAAAAAUAGGUCAAAGCAACUCUGCAUAAUUUGGAAAGUUAACAAAAUGUUGUUUACAGAACUAAAAAAUAAGUAGAUAUAAUUACAAUAACCUUUAAAUGUAUUGUUUCCCUUCCACUGUCAAUUAAACCCUUUAAAGAACUGAAAUUUUUUUUCCUUCUCUCAGUAAGACAGAGAUAAAAAUAGCUUCAAGUCACAUGGCAUAAAGUCCACCUGGAUAUCUGGCUUCUUUUCAACAGUAUGAGCUCUGGCUCACAACCUAGGUUUGUUCUCUCACAAAAAUCAUGUCUAGAUACCACAGGAAAAGUGAGCACUGAAGACUGACACACAGCAAAUGUGGAUACAGACAUGUUUCGAUAAAUAAGGCCUUGCUCCAGUAGCAGCUUUGUUCAGCCAUGGCUUUCCCCUCAGUUCUUGGCUUUACCACAGUCAGUUUUAAAGUGUUUUUUUUGCUCUUCAAUUUCACUGUUAUCAUGGCCCUUAGCUUUCUCGAUAUUCAAGGUCAAGCAGCUAGCAGACAUAACACUGAUAGCAUUUGAUAAUGAAGAAACAACGUGAAAAGAAAAAAAGGAAAUAUUUGUUUGCUGGACAUAGCUGAAUACAGUGGAGAGAAAAAACAUUCAAGAAUUUCUGUCCACAAGUGAUAACUGAAAGAGUCAAGUUUCUCUUUGAUUUUCUACUUUCUGUGUGCUGGAUAAAUUGCGUUUCCAGAUUUCAGAACAAAUCUCUUAAUGUAUUUUGGGCUGGAAUCCGUACCCUACAAAGCAGAGUAAAGGAAAGCUCUCUGGAUAGUGUCUGCAUAAGGCUUGCAGGGAUGUUCCCUCCUUUGCAGCUCAUUUCCAGCAGUGGAAGCCACAAGGUAAGAGAGCUCUUGGUAAGAGAGCAAAGCCAAAACUGUUCCUUACAUUUUAACCCAAUGGCUUCAAAUGGCUUCUCACCUGAAGAAGUUUUGAGUCUAAGAUUGCCAUUUAAGUUCCUUUUAUAGUUAGUGACAGGAUAUGGACAUCUCAUCACAAUACCUAUUUAAAAUGAAUGAGCCCUACCCUACCAGUGCCCACCAGUCUGUCCAGGAAGUCUAGAACCUCAUCUUGCCAUGAUGAGGUUCCCAACAUUCACAUAGUUGAAGCCAGGUGCCAUCUGAAGUUUUUGUUAGCACUAUCAAAGAUUUUCACUGAAAGUUUGUGUGUCAGUUUGAGCAUGCUCACUUACACCAAAUCUUUUCUGGCAGUGGGAAGCAGUGUGACAAAAUGCUUUGUAGAAAAUGUCUUAGGAGCUAUAACAAAGUAAUGUCUUAAUUCUAGUCACAUCAAAGUAGGUUGUGAGGGAUAUUCAAAGCAGCUGUGUUUGUAUUAGGCAAGUGAAGGAGUCUUGCCUAUCUUUCAAGAUCUCAGAUUCUGAAAUGAAUCCAUCAGUGUUUGAUUUAGUUGAGUCAUGUCUUAAAUUGUGCAACAUACUACAAGCAGGAGCCAGACAAGAAUGAUCCAAGCACUGACCAGGAUGAUUUCUUUUUGCUGACAGUUCACCCAUUAACUGGACAGUGUUCCUGUCAUGCUGUGGGUUUGCUAUGGAUAUGCUGUCUGUGCACCCUCUCUCCUAUGGCUUUAGGACAUCUAUAAUUAAGCCUAUAAUGCAUUUCUACAGAUGGUGCACUUUUCCAUCAAUGUUGCCCUUACUUUAAGGCUUAAUCAUAAGUACAGAGCUAUACAAUGUAUUUUGAAGCACAUUUUAGUAUUUUCUUCACAAAGAUAUACUACGCAAUACAGACUCUGUAAGUGAUUGAAAUUAAUCAACUAUUCUGUCCCUUCUACCCACCCUGAGCACAAACACACGCAGAGAUACAGCUAAUGUAGAGGUAAACACAACCUGAUUUUCUACAGCAUGACUGUCUUUCAAACAACAAACCUCUGUUCUUUUCUUGCAUGUGGGCUGUCUGUUGGAUAUUCUACACAAUUUAAUCUAUACAUGUUUGUAAAUCUUUUUCCAGUACAUGUUGUUUACACGCCGUGGUACUCAUCCAAGAAAAACAAGGCUGGAAUAAGUACCUGGUAUGGGCGAGUUUCACCAGUACAUAUAUAUUUGAACACGAUAAUCUUAAUAUUGAUUGGUUUAAUUUUUUUUUUUU
Numida meleagris (helmeted guineafowl) is the source of this 8808-nucleotide long non-coding RNA. RefSeq lists it as uncharacterized. The record is from RefSeq and is a predicted model, not a curated record. Lineage: Eukaryota; Metazoa; Chordata; Aves; Galliformes; Numididae. The transcript is spliced from 11 exons.